UACGGGGGGAGCAAGCGUUGUUCGGAUUUACUGGGCGUAAAGGGCGCGUAGGCGGCCAGCACAAGUCAGUUGUGAAAUCUCCGAGCUUAACUCGGAAAGGUCAACUGAUACUGUGCGGCUAGAGUGCGGAAGGGGCAACUGGAAUUCUUGGUGUAGCGGUGAAAUGCGUAGAUAUCAAGAGGAACACCUGCGGCGAAGGCGGGUUGCUGGGCCGACACGUGACGCUGAGGCGCGAAAGCUAGGGGAGCGAACGGG
This 255-nucleotide ribosomal RNA is filed under the name uncultured bacterium. RNAcentral describes it as "partial 16S ribosomal RNA". It matches the Rfam family "Bacterial small subunit ribosomal RNA", at positions 524 to 776 of the family's 1533-position model. The record is from RNAcentral.